This 219-nucleotide long non-coding RNA is filed under the name Numida meleagris (helmeted guineafowl). RNAcentral describes it as "lncRNA (ENSNMEG00000022952.1)". The record is from RNAcentral. Lineage: Eukaryota; Metazoa; Chordata; Aves; Galliformes; Numididae.
UUUUUUUUAGACAAGUCAGCGUUGAAGGGUCACACAAAUUCAGUGACUAAACUGUGUUUCUAGAUUUCUAGGUGUGAAGCCCAGUGGAAAGUGGUUGUGUUUACUACUCACACUGCACCAUCUUCGAUGGCUUUGUUUCUAUUUGUGCUUUUUGGACAAGCAUUAAGCUCCGUAGACAAUCAGCCUUAGUGAUCUACUGGAAUAAUAUUUCAAGUAAGU